GCACGAAUGUUUAAAUUCUGUUAAAUUGUCAGUAUUUUCGGUGAUGGGAUUGAAAAUCCCCGUGUCGGCAGUUCGAUUCUGUCUCCGGGCACCA
This 94-nucleotide transfer RNA is filed under the name Salmonella enterica subsp. enterica serovar Cerro. RNAcentral's name for it is "tRNA-Ser". Lineage: Bacteria; Pseudomonadati; Pseudomonadota; Gammaproteobacteria; Enterobacterales; Enterobacteriaceae. The record is from RNAcentral.